UACGAAGGGGGCUAGCGUUGCUCGGAAUUACUGGGCGUAAAGCGCACGUAGGCGGUCUUUUAAGUCGGGGGUGAAAUCCUGGAGCUCAACUCCAGAACUGCCUUCGAUACUGGAAGACUCGAGUCCGGGAGAGGUGAGUGGAACUGCGAGUGUAGAGGUGAAAUUCGUAGAUAUCAGGAGGAACACCUGUGGUGUAGACAGCUUACUGGACCACUUCUGACGCUGAGACACGAAAGCGUGGGUAGCAAACAGG
RNAcentral lists this ribosomal RNA (253 nucleotides) under uncultured bacterium. Its description in RNAcentral is "partial 16S ribosomal RNA". It matches the Rfam family "Bacterial small subunit ribosomal RNA", at positions 524 to 776 of the family's 1533-position model. The record is from RNAcentral.